UAGAGCUAGGAGAAUGUGGUUUUAUUUCCAUUGAUAAUUUGGUUAAGUUCUGCUGAGAGAAAAAUGAUUUUUGACAGAGCUUUGGACUACUUUGAUCUAUGCUCCCAAACUCUUCCUUAGUUUACACUGAAAUAAUGUACAGAGCAUCCAUUAAGGGGAAAUGAUCGGUUACAGUACACCCAGCUGCUCGAUUGAAUGGUUUCACUUUGCCUGUGUCAGUCUCAGCACAAAUCUCCAGGGCAAAGGAUUAUGUCACUCGUGUUCUCAGGAACGGAAGAAAGAAUUUUUAGAUGUGAAUUCACAGCACAGACUAAAGGAAGGAUCUGGAUUGCAUGACUUAAAAAGUUUUGUUCUGUGCGUGGAGUAAAGAUGAAAGAAAAGCAAGCUAGCAGAUGCACAUGGUUCUGCAGGAGCCAAUGUUGAGCAACAUGAAAUUGCAAAUGGAUUUUGGCAAGUAAUAUACCAACUGAUCAUAAUACAAUUGUAAUAAUAUUCCAUUUGCAAAUCUUACACCUAAAAUAACUUCUGUAAAUGACAUUUUGUUAAUCUGAUUGUAAAAUGUACA
Molecule: long non-coding RNA, 565 nt
Organism: Chiloscyllium plagiosum (whitespotted bambooshark)
Lineage: Eukaryota; Metazoa; Chordata; Chondrichthyes; Orectolobiformes; Hemiscylliidae
Source: RefSeq, a predicted model, not a curated record